This 441-nucleotide ribosomal RNA is filed under the name uncultured bacterium. RNAcentral's name for it is "partial 16S ribosomal RNA". It matches the Rfam family "Bacterial small subunit ribosomal RNA", at positions 29 to 507 of the family's 1533-position model. The record is from RNAcentral.
AACGAACGCUGGCGGCAUGCCUAACACAUGCAAGUCGAACGAGACCUUCGGGUUUAGUGGCGCACGGGUGCGCAAAGCGUGGGAAUCUACCCUCAGGUUCGGCAUAACUCAGAGAAAUUUGCGCUAAUACCGGAUGAUGACGUAAGUCCAAAGAUUUAUCGCCUGAGGAUGAGCCCGCUUCGGAUUAGGUAGUUGGUGAGGUAGAGGCUCACCAAGCCGACGAUCCUUAGCUGGUCUGAGGGGAUGGUCAGCCACACUGGGACUGAGAUACGUCCCAGCCUCCCAGGGGAGGCAGGAGUGGGGAAUAGUGAAAAAUGGGAGAAAGCCUGAAGCCGUGACGCCGCGUGGGGGAUGAAGGAAUUAGGGUUGUAGGCUUCUUACGCCCUUGACGACGACAUUGUGGUGACGGUAGCGGGAGAAGAAGCCCCGGCUAACUACGUG